Molecule: transfer RNA, 69 nt
Filed under: Gallicolumba luzonica
Lineage: Eukaryota; Metazoa; Chordata; Aves; Columbiformes; Columbidae
Description: tRNA-Arg
Source: RNAcentral
AGAAAGUUAGUCUAAGCAAGACAGUUGAUUUCGACUCAACAGACCAUAGCCUGAUCCUAUGACUUUCUC